CCUACGGGAGGCAGCAGUGGGGAAUAUUGGGCAAUGGAGGAAACUCUGAACCAGCAACGCCGCGUGAAUGAUGACGGCCCUCGGAUUGGAAAGCUCUUUUCUUAGGGAAGAAGAAAGUGACGGUACCUUAGGAAUAAGCCUCGGCUAACUACGUGCCAGGAGCCGCGGCAAUACGUAGGAGGCAAGCGUUAUCCGGAAUGACUGGGUGUAAAGGGUUAGUAGGUGGGUUGACAAGUUGGUAGCGUAACUCCGGGGCUCAACCUCGGCACUACUACCAAAACUGUUGGACGUGAGUGCAGGAGGGGCAAAUGGAAUUCGUGGUGUAGCGGUGGAAUGCGUAGAUAUUAGGAAGAACACCAGUGGCGAAGGCGGUUUGCUGGACUGUAACUGACACUGAGGCACGAAAGCGUGGGGAGCAAACAGGAUUAGAUACCCCUGUAGUC
RNAcentral lists this ribosomal RNA (443 nucleotides) under uncultured bacterium. Its description in RNAcentral is "partial 16S ribosomal RNA". It matches the Rfam family "Bacterial small subunit ribosomal RNA", at positions 338 to 795 of the family's 1533-position model. The record is from RNAcentral.